RNAcentral lists this microRNA precursor (110 nucleotides) under Podarcis lilfordi (Lilford's wall lizard). The record is from RNAcentral. Lineage: Eukaryota; Metazoa; Chordata; Lepidosauria; Squamata; Lacertidae.
ACCUUAGAGACCAUCUACGUUUGUUAUUGGUAUGAGCUUUCGUGUGUAUCUGAGGAAGUGCAUGCACACGAAAGCUCAUACCAGUAACAAACUUAGUUGCUCUCUAAGGU